This 525-nucleotide ribosomal RNA is filed under the name uncultured Hydrogenophilaceae bacterium. RNAcentral's name for it is "bacterial SSU rRNA". It matches the Rfam family "Bacterial small subunit ribosomal RNA", at positions 8 to 526 of the family's 1533-position model. The record is from RNAcentral. Lineage: Bacteria; Pseudomonadati; Pseudomonadota; Hydrogenophilia; Hydrogenophilales; Hydrogenophilaceae.
AGAGUUUGAUCCUGGCUCAGAUUGAACGMUGGCGGAAUGCUUUACACAUGCAAGUCGAACGGCAGCACGGGAGCUUGCUCCUGGUGGCGAGUGGCGAACGGGUGAGUAACRCGUCGGAACGUACCGAGUAAUGGGGGAUAACGCAGCGAAAGUUGUGCUAAUACCGCWUACGCCCUGAGGGGGAAAGUGGGGGAUCGCAAGACCUCACGUUAUUCGAGCGGCCGACGUCKGAUUAGYUUGUUGGUGGGGUAAUGGCCUACCAAGGCGACGAUCAGUAGCGGGUCUGAGAGGAUGAUCCGCCMCACKGGAACUGAGACACGGUCCAGACUCCUACGGGAGGCAGCAGUGGGGAAUUUUGGACAAUGGGGGCAACCCUGAUCCAGCCAUUCCGCGUGAGUGAAGAAGGCCUUCGGGUUGUAAAGCUCUUUCAGCCGGAACGAAACGGUAUGUCUUAAUACGAUGUGCUAAUGACGGUACCGGCARAAGAAGCACCGGCUAAYUACGUGCCAGCAGCCGCGGUAAUAC